This 498-nucleotide ribosomal RNA is filed under the name uncultured bacterium. RNAcentral's name for it is "partial 16S ribosomal RNA". It matches the Rfam family "Bacterial small subunit ribosomal RNA", at positions 30 to 523 of the family's 1533-position model. The record is from RNAcentral.
AUUGAACGCUGGCGGCAUGCUUUACACAUGCAAGUCGAACGGCAGCGCGGGGCAACCUGGCGGCGAGUGGCGAACGGGUGAGUAAUACAUCGGAACGUACCCAGAAGUGGGGGAUAAUGUAGCGAAAGUUACGCUAAUACCGCAUACGUUCUACGGAAGAAAGUGGGGGACCUUCGGGCCUCAUGCUUUCGGAGCGGCCGAUGUCUGAUUAGCUAGUUGGUAGGGUAAAGGCCUACCAAGGCGACGAUCAGUAGCUGGUCUGAGAGGACGACCAGCCACACUGGGACUGAGACACGGCCCAGACUCCUACGGGAGGCAGCAGUGGGGAAUUUUGGACAAUGGGCGCAAGCCUGAUCCAGCAAUGCCGCGUGAGUGAAGAAGGCCUUCGGGUUGUAAAGCUCUUUUGUCAGGGAAGAAACGGUCGGGGUUAAUACCUCUGGCUAAUGACGGUACCUGAAGAAUAAGCACCGGCUAACUACGUGCCAGCAGCCGCCGUAA